RNAcentral lists this ribosomal RNA (504 nucleotides) under uncultured bacterium. RNAcentral describes it as "partial 16S ribosomal RNA". It matches the Rfam family "Bacterial small subunit ribosomal RNA", at positions 28 to 523 of the family's 1533-position model. The record is from RNAcentral.
GAUGAACGCUAGCGACAGGCCCAACACAUGCAAGUCGAGGGGCAGCACAUGAGUAGCAAUACGAUGGUGGCGACCGGCGCACGGGUGAGUAACACGUAUGCAACCUGCCUUCUACUAUGGGAUAACCCGUUGAAAGACGGACUAAUACCGUAUAAUACAGGGGCUCCGCAUGGAGAUAUUUGUUAAAGAUCUAUUGGUAGAAGAUGGGCAUGCGUAUGAUUAGAUAGUUGGUGAGGUAACGGCUCACCAAGUCAACGAUCAUUAGGGGUUCUGAGAGGAAGGUCACCCACACUGGUACUGAGACACGGACCAGACUCCUACGGGAGGCAGCAGUGAGGAAUAUUGGUCAAUGGACGAGAGUCUGAACCAGCCAAGUCGCGUGAAGGAAGACGGUUCUAUGAAUUGUAAACUUCUUUUGUGCAGGAAUAAAGUGGGUUACGUGUAACCUUUUGUAUGUACUGUACGAAUAAGGAUCGGCUAACUCCGUGCCAGCAGCCGCAGUAA